Molecule: long non-coding RNA, 1032 nt
Filed under: Homo sapiens (human)
Lineage: Eukaryota; Metazoa; Chordata; Mammalia; Primates; Hominidae
Description: HSALNT0336016
Source: RNAcentral
UGGACUUAUCCUGGUGCCACUGAGACUGUGCAGCAAGCCAUGUAUCUGGCUCCCCUCCCACCUUCUCACCUUGGAACACCACCAGCUGUAGGCAUCUACAUGCAGCAGGAAGCAUCACUGAGUCCCACACUUACAGGGAAAGCAUCACCCGAAAGUGAGAAUGCCUAGAGGCAGGAAUCAUGGAGGCUUCCUUAACCGUCUGUCUGCAACAGCAGGUGCUAGAGAUGACACUGCAGAGUAGAGAACAAAGGAAUCUUAGUAAUUGUUCAAUCCAAUCUCCACACUUUAAAGAUGAAGAAACUGGUAUUGAGAAAAAUACACAGCUUAUCCAAGGUUGCACUGCUGGUUGGUAGCUGAGAUGAAUUUAGAACCCACAUCUGAUGACUACACCAUAUUGCUCCCAGUUUUCCUGUCUGUUCCACAUGUAAAAGUCUGACUCUUCACUUCUCCUUUGAGUAUAUAGACUUUUAACAUUUUUGUAUGUCAAGAUGGACUUUUCCUCAUACCCAGCCCCUGCCUUUUCUCCUCCCUUCAUACCUUGCAGGAUCUUUAACAGAAUUUAAAAGGAGUUUUUUGUUUUGUUUUGAUGUAUCUAAUAAAAGUCAAGGGAGGGAGAGGGCCAGUAUAAGCAAGAGUACAGUUUCCUAGUUUGUAGAUGCGGUAGUCUGAGGAAUCAGAAACACACAAAGGUUUGGAGAACUGGUACAUGCUCCCAGGUGGGAAGCCAGGACUCUUGGUAGGAUCUUGAGGACAAGGCAAAGGACAAUAAGAGAGCGAGGGGAUCCUAGAGGUGGAAUCAAGGAAGAGAAACUAGAGAGAGAAAAAGGAACUGGCUAUCCAUCCAUGAUGGAUCCUGUGUGGACUGAUGGGUGGCUUGGCAUCAUCCUUUAGUAGACUUCAUGUGGUUGAAUAAUUGGCCAAUGGAAGGAAUUUCUUUUUUGGUAACAGACUCUGUGUGUACAGUUAUGGGUCUUAAUUUAUAAUAAAAGGUUACAUUGAAAAUUGAGCAUAUUGGCAACUUUGGGCUUUAAU